Poecilia reticulata (guppy) is the source of this 1843-nucleotide non-coding RNA. The record is from RefSeq and is a predicted model, not a curated record. Lineage: Eukaryota; Metazoa; Chordata; Actinopteri; Cyprinodontiformes; Poeciliidae.
UCCAGCUUUUCGAAACCCAUUGGUAAAAAGCUGUAAAUUAGCCGCAUGUCGGAGUUCAAAGCGACGGCUUAAAGUCCUGGAAUUACGCUCGCCAGAAGGGCAGGUGUUGGUCUGCACGGCGAGAUGUGAAAGAACAGAAGGAGCGAAGACGGGGAGAAGAAGUGCAGAGGAGGAAUGGAACCGUCUCAACAUCUCAAGUAUGAGAAAGUAGCACUUUUCAAUAUGAAGAAGAUGAAAGUGUCUGAAAAUGUGUGAUGCUUCAUGGGUUAUAAUCACGACUGGGUGAUGAGGUUAAAAAAAAAAAAAUUACUAGAAGCAUAUGUCAGGGGUUGGCGGGCUUUUAAGCUGCACUGGAGGCAUUUCUUUUUUUUUUUCCCCUCCUAAAUCUGAGGGAGGCAAGGAGCAGUCCGGUGCAAAGCUGCAGCAGGGUUCGUGCCAGUUUAUUGCUGUCGCAGCCCACACAUUCGCUUGAUACAAUCGCAGAGACACCAAAUGCCAUGAGAAUGUCAAACUCGGUCUUUAAAGAGACAACCGCCAUGGAGGAAGAAACAACACGGUUUCGUCACAACAGGUGAUAAAUCCUACUCUGUCUCAUAAUGCAGGAGAAGGAGGACGGGCACAGCAAAAACAGAAUAUUUGCAGUAUGAAGUCACUGACAGCAGCUGGCUAACUAAGCUUUGCACAGAAAGUGGAAUCAGGGUAAAACAGGUUUAUGGUUUGGAUCAAACAGUAGGAGGAUUCUAACUGAAGAAUGAUCACAAACCUGCAUUAACAGAAUGUAUAAUACAUAACGAAAACCCUCCAAAACUACUGAAAUAAAUCAUUAAAAUCCCACAGAUAGUGUAUUAAUGCCUGUGAGGAGCAGAUGUAAACUCAUGACAGGAGCUGUACCUAUUCUUUGCUUCUAUGUUUGUGUUUAAUGCUUCUUGAAUAUGGAUGGAGAGAGAUGUGUCUUUUGACUCAGUGAUAAUGGUGUGUGCUGUUUCAUAAAACCACCUCCAUGUGCCUUGUAAACAACACAUCCUGAGGGACCGGGGAGCCAAUCACAGGUGAAAAAUCACUGCAAGCAUUGACAACUGGAGGUCCUGAAACAUCAGGUGUUUGGAUGGAUAAUAAACUGAUCAGUCCCUGUCAGGGAGGGAAAAAUAGCACGGUUCAAAGAAAACAAAUACACCGCUUGCAAAGAUUAUCUCCAUUAAAUUCCAUGAAAGCUCAGCUGUCAUUGGUGGUAUGUUGUGGGUCUGAUUUACCUGUUCCUUGCAGUGCUGAGAACAUCACUGUUCUCAUUAGAAGCUGCCUCUGUGCUGUCUCAUAGCAACCUAAAAAUAGAAAUGUCCAUAUUAGGCUGUAUGGCGGUGAUGGCUGCUACAAGUUUUGGCCUCUUUAAUUGAACACUGUAAAUAUACAUCGAUGUGGAAAAAUAUGCAGCACCUAGUAAAAGUGUUCACACCGCUAGAGCUUUUUCAUGUUUUGUGCUAAAACCAUAGCUUUACCAUUGCAAUGGUACUUAAUGUGAUCGAGCAACACAAAGCAGAGCAUAUGGGAGAAGAGAUGGAUAUAUGUUCUUAAAUUCUUUAUAUGGAUCCAGCUGCAGGCAGUACGUUGUAAAAUCAAAACUUUAAUCCUUUUUGGUAUAGGGUCUCCAUCAGCCUUGCUCGCACACAACAAAAUUUUAAUUUUGGCUAUUUCGUUUUUUUGCAAACAGGUUGUCAGAUUGACUAUGCCAUUCUAAUCCAUAAAUAUCCACUGGUCUAAACCAGGACAUAGCACUGUAAGUUCAGGGUUUUUCUCUAGUUGAGAAUUAACAUCUGCUCAAGUUUCAAGUGUUUCUGCAACUUCCAAA